CGUCUAGGCGGUUAUGCAAGUCUGAUGUGAAAUCCCGGGGCUUAACCCCGGAAGUGCAUCGGAUACUGCGUGACUAGAGUCCCGGAGAGGGUGGUGGAAUUCCUGGUGUAGAGGUGAAAUUCGUAGAUAUCAGGAGGAACACCCGUGGCGAAGGCGGCCACCUGGACGGUGACUGACGCUGAAGCGCGAAAGCGUGGGGAUCAAACA
RNAcentral lists this ribosomal RNA (207 nucleotides) under uncultured bacterium. RNAcentral's name for it is "partial 16S ribosomal RNA". It matches the Rfam family "Bacterial small subunit ribosomal RNA", at positions 568 to 774 of the family's 1533-position model. The record is from RNAcentral.